UACGAAGGGGGCUAGCGUUGUUCGGAAUCACUGGGCGUAAAGCGCACGUAGGCGGUUUUUUAAGUCAGGGGUGAAAUCCCGAGGCUCAACCUCGGAACUGCCUUUGAUACUGGAGAUCUUGAGUCCGGAAGAGGUAAGUGGAACUGCGAGUGUAGAGGUGAAAUUCGUAGAUAUUCGCAGGAACACCAGUGGCGAAGGCGGCUUGCUGGUCCGGAACUGACGCUGAGGUGCGAAAGCGUGGGGAGCAAACAGG
RNAcentral lists this ribosomal RNA (253 nucleotides) under uncultured bacterium. RNAcentral describes it as "partial 16S ribosomal RNA". It matches the Rfam family "Bacterial small subunit ribosomal RNA", at positions 524 to 776 of the family's 1533-position model. The record is from RNAcentral.